AGAGGUUUCAUGAGGCCCUAGCUAAAGCACUCACAGUGCCACCCUGUCAGAUUCCAACAAAUCUGCAAAUUCUGCU
This 76-nucleotide ribozyme is filed under the name Crocodylus porosus (Australian saltwater crocodile). RNAcentral describes it as "Mammalian CPEB3 ribozyme (ENSCPRG00005007790.1)". It matches the Rfam family "Mammalian CPEB3 ribozyme". Rfam says of the family: The mammalian CPEB3 ribozyme is a self cleaving RNA located in the second intron of the CPEB3 gene which belongs to a family of genes regulating messenger RNA polyadenylation. This ribozyme is highly conserved and found only in mammals. The record is from Rfam by way of RNAcentral. Lineage: Eukaryota; Metazoa; Chordata; Crocodylia; Crocodylidae.